Molecule: long non-coding RNA, 152 nt
Organism: Salvia splendens (bonfire salvia)
Lineage: Eukaryota; Viridiplantae; Streptophyta; Magnoliopsida; Lamiales; Lamiaceae
Exons: 2
Source: RefSeq, a predicted model, not a curated record
GAACCGCUCUGAAACAACCCAGAUUCACCCCGAAAGCGCCGAACAGCCCCCCGACAGCCCCGAAGAUAGAUGUAGGAUUGAAUGAGGAAGGUGGAAGGUUUGAAUGAUGGAGGGUCUCCAUGAAGAAGGAACCGGCGCAGGGGAAGAAAGAA